GAUGAACGCUGGCGGCGUGCCUAAUACAUGCAAGUCGAGCGAACGGACGAGAAGCUUGCUUCUCUGAUGUUAGCGGCGGACGGGUGAGUAACACGUGGAUAACCUACCUAUAAGACUGGGAUAACUUCGGGAAACCGGAGCUAAUACCGGAUAAUAUUUUGAACCGCAUGGUUCAAAAGUGAAAGACGGUCUUGCUGUCACUUAUAGAUGGAUCCGCGCUGCAUUAGCUAGUUGGUAAGGUAACGGCUUACCAAGGCAACGAUGCGUAGCCGACCUGAGAGGGUGAUCGGCCACACUGGAACUGAGACACGGUCCAGACUCCUACGGGAGGCAGCAGUAGGGAAUCUUACGCAAUGGGCGAAAGCCUGACGGAGCAACGCCGCGUGAGUGAUGAAGGUCUUCGGAUCGUAAAACUCUGUUAUUAGGGAAGAACAUAUGUGUAAGUAACUGUGCACAUCUUGACGGUACCUAAUCAGAAAGCCACGGCUAACUACGUG
Molecule: ribosomal RNA, 497 nt
Filed under: uncultured bacterium
Lineage: Bacteria
Description: partial 16S ribosomal RNA
Rfam family: Bacterial small subunit ribosomal RNA
Source: RNAcentral